This is a long non-coding RNA of Strigops habroptila (Kakapo), 1055 nucleotides long. RefSeq lists it as uncharacterized. The record is from RefSeq and is a predicted model, not a curated record. The transcript has 2 exons. NCBI's taxonomy places the organism in Eukaryota, Metazoa, Chordata, Aves, Psittaciformes, Psittacidae.
CUAGGAUAUUGUUUAUUAAGAUUUAUGUUAAGCUCAAUGUAAAGGUUAGGCAACAAAAGAUGUGAAAUCGCUUAUGCAAACAGCUACCAGACACCGCUUGCGUAAGAUAAGAUAACCACAAUCGCGAGAUAACCGCCAGACUUCCAGGAACCGACAGAAACAGGACAAACAACCCCAUAUAAGGACAUAUGAAUGAGGGGUCAACUAUGGGACAAAGGAGGAAGACUUCUUACUUCGGCCUCAACGACCACCAGGAGGCAGAAAACGACCCCCUAACAACAACUGAAGCAUGCGCAGAGUACCUCCACUACUUCAUGAACACGGAAGUAAAGAUGUAUAAAAAGGGACUGUUUGAACUGCUCAGAACGGCAGUUGGCGGAGCGCAGACUCCCCUGUCGUCCAGCGCUGUUUUUGCUCAUAUUCUACUUGCUAUAAUUAAUAAAAUUUUAAUUGGAUUAUGAUCCGUUGUGGUCUCAAUUUAUGACAAUUUCUGGUGCCGUGACUCGGAUAAGGAACGGUGGGCUUUGGUCCUCCGGGGAGGCGCCCCGCGACAUUUCGCGGCCCCGCGACCAACAGCUCACUCCAACCUUACCGACGAACCUAAAUUCUAGGAUAUUGAGCAAAAAAAAAAAGACCGGUAAAAUCCCAUAAAAUUCUGUGCACGGGAGUCCGGACGAAGACGCAGGACGCUUAAAGCUGCAAAGUGGGAAGCCUAUAUAAACAGGCAGAAAGCCCGAAACAGCUGUUCUCCUGAAGAAUUCCCUUGCUGCCGAGAAGAUGGUACACCCCGUGGCUCGAAGCAACCGAGUCGACGGGCGAGGCAGAGGAGGAACAAACUGUGGAGAAAAGAACCAGAACGAUGGGACACAAAAGCAGCAAUGGCCGAACUUCCCCAGGACUGGUAAAAACAUACUUAAAUUGGCAAAAUUGACAGACACCCUUUUUUCUGGUAUACCGUUAGUUUUGUUAUUGAUAAUAACCCAAGCAAAUGGAAACCCUCAUGAACCUAUGGCUUGGAAAUUAUAUAAUUUACCAGAGUCAAAAUUAAUUCAAAC